This is a long non-coding RNA of Dermacentor silvarum, 929 nucleotides long. RefSeq lists it as uncharacterized. Lineage: Eukaryota; Metazoa; Arthropoda; Arachnida; Ixodida; Ixodidae. The transcript has 3 exons. The record is from RefSeq and is a predicted model, not a curated record.
AGGGCGUCGACGAAAAAGUCUCCUUAUUCUGUUUACCAGCCAACCCGGAACUACGCGACAGGUGGAAGCUAGCAGUCGCGCGACAAGAGACUGCCGGGUUCUCGUUUGAAUCGAAGUACUUUCGCGUGUGCGAAAAACAUUUUGAUGCCGGAGACAUUAUUCGUGCGGACGUGUGUACAGUGACUGGAAACGUUGUGUCACUGCCACGCGAUCGACCCAAACUGGUAGAAGACGCCAUUUCAAGGAUUUUCGAAGGCGUCGCAUGCGCCGACACGGCGCCCACCUGCAAAAAGACGCCGAGAGGUAUCUUCAAACUGCGCUACAGCCGAAGUUGCGGCCUUCGCAACUGCAGACGCCACCGAUGCAGUCGAAGAAGAAAUUCACGAUGAAGUACGAACUGUGAAUCGCCUUGGCAGUGCUGAUGCAGAGUGACUAACAGAGCACGCCGUUUGCUUUGCCUCAGAGCUGCAAAGGGUGAAGGCCCAACUUCGCAGUGUGAAGCAACAACUUCAUUCGUGUCAGCGAAAGCUCACAAAAGCGGAGGCGCCGGCAAAUGAAAAACGUGCCAUGCAGGAAACCAGUCAGAAGCUAUCGGGCCGCGAGAAGCUCAUUAUAGAUUAGUGCAUCAUGAAGGCAAACAUGAAGUCCACGAAUUCUGUGCGAUUGAUACCCUGGCAGUUCUUUUGGACGAUAUACUUCUGGAGCCGGCUGAGUGCAUGCAAGAUAUCAAUCGUCCGGAGUCAACGAAGGACUACGUUUUGGACUACCUUGGUGGCUAGAAUGAAAGAAAGUUUGCUAAAAUAAACUGCAAGUACUGCCUCCAAACACUGAGGAGCACCUCCAGAGAGCCAAGUGCACUGGCUAGGGGAUUUUUGCAAGUGCAAUCAGACCAUCUGCUUUGCCUUCUGCAAAUUGUAGACGAGCACCAA